RNAcentral lists this ribosomal RNA (325 nucleotides) under uncultured eukaryote. RNAcentral's name for it is "partial 18S ribosomal RNA". It matches the Rfam family "Eukaryotic small subunit ribosomal RNA", at positions 1470 to 1796 of the family's 1831-position model. The record is from RNAcentral.
CCCUUAGAUGUUCUGGGCCGCACGCGCGCUACACUGAUGCGUUCAACGAGUAUACAACCUUGAUCGAUAGGUCUGGGUAAUCUUUUGAAUGCGCAUCGUGCUAGGGAUAGACUGUUGCAAUUUUCAGUCUUGAACGAGGAAUUCCUAGUAAACGCAAGUCAUCAGACUGCAUCGAUUACGUCCCUGCCCUUUGUACACACCGCCCGUCGCUCCUACCGAUUGAAUGCUCAGGUGAGCCAUUCGGACUUUCAUCAUGCUGGUUUCCAGUUUUGAUGAAGGAAAGUCUUGCGAACCUUAUCAUUUAGAGGAAGGAGAAGUCGUAACA